This 288-nucleotide long non-coding RNA is filed under the name Salvia miltiorrhiza (redroot sage). RNAcentral describes it as "long non-coding RNA (SMIL_LNC000427)". Lineage: Eukaryota; Viridiplantae; Streptophyta; Magnoliopsida; Lamiales; Lamiaceae. The record is from RNAcentral.
UCCGUUUGGUGCUGUCGAAAGUGGUGUUCCUGGUGAUAGCGUAGACAAUGAGGCAGAGGUGCAGUCGAGCGACGAGGGGGGUGAGGCGUCAGGAUUUAGAGAUCUCAAUGGGUGGCAGCAAUCGAUGGCGAGUCGAGAUGCAACAAUCGACGGCGAGGCGAGGCGCAGCAAUCGACGGUGCGGCGAGGCGAGGAGUAGCAAUACACGGCGCAGCGAGGAGAGGUGCAGCAGCGCGGCGAGGCGAGGCGCUGCAAUCGACGGCGACGGCGAGGCCAGGCGCAGAUCUGA